This 454-nucleotide ribosomal RNA is filed under the name uncultured bacterium. RNAcentral's name for it is "partial 16S ribosomal RNA". It matches the Rfam family "Bacterial small subunit ribosomal RNA", at positions 28 to 507 of the family's 1533-position model. The record is from RNAcentral.
GAUGAACGCUGACAGAAUGCUUAACACAUGCAAGUCAACUGGAACUUCGGUGUGGGUUGCGGACGGGUGAGUAACGCGUAGAGAACUUGCCUCACAGAUAGGGACAACAUUUGGAAACGAAUGCUAAUACCUGAUAUUAUGAUUAUAUGGCAUCGUAUAAGUAUGAAAGCUAAAUGCGCUGUGAUAGAGCUUUGCGUCCCGUUAGCUAGUUGGAGGGGUAAGGGCUCUCCAAGGCGAUGAUGGGUAGUCGGCCUGAGUGGGUGAGCGGCCACACGGGGACUGAGACACGGACCGUACUCAUACCGGCGGGAGGAGUGGGGAAUAUAGGAUAAUGGACCAAGAGUAUGAUGAAGCAAUUCUGUGUGCAGGAUGAAGUUUUUCGGAAUGUAAAGUGCUUUCAGUUGGGAAGAAAAAAAUGACGGUACCAACAGAAGAAGUGACGGCUAAAUACGUG